This is a long non-coding RNA of Poecilia latipinna (sailfin molly), 5677 nucleotides long. RefSeq lists it as uncharacterized. The transcript has 2 exons. NCBI's taxonomy places the organism in Eukaryota, Metazoa, Chordata, Actinopteri, Cyprinodontiformes, Poeciliidae. The record is from RefSeq and is a predicted model, not a curated record.
CGGGGUAACUCUGUGCUCCGCUGUCCCUCCUCAGGUACCUACUUCACGCACGAAGCCAAAGGUGCAGACGACGCGGCGGACGCAGACACAGCCAUCAUCAAUGCAGAGGGCGGCCACACCAACUCGGACGAAAAGAAGGAGUAUUACAUCUAACCCGAACCGGGGGGACCCCCGCCCCCGCCCUCGCUCGGGUGUUGUCGCCGGCACGCCGAGCCGCUUUCCCGGGGAUGGGGCAGGGGGGUUUUUUGACGGAUUCGGAUCGCUUUUUGGUGAAAGGGAUGGAGGAGGGAUUUUGAAGGAAAGGCCUGGUUUUACGCCGUCGUUUAGUCUAGUCUGCAGAUGUAGAUGGAAUGUUAUUUGUGUUUAAGAUAAAAAAGAUAAAAUAUUAAAAAAAAUAAAUAAAAGCGAGUUGGGGGGUGGGGAGUGGGUGGGUGUGGGUGGGGGCGCCAGAUGUUGGCAGAAAUCACUGUAGAGAGCUUCACCAUUUAACACCUCCCUAACUGCUGGUACGAAGUUUAUCUUUUAGUUCCACCAUUUGCAGAAAAUUCUGUGCCUUGUUCUGAAUUUUUUUUUGUUCUCUCCACACUCUAGAUCCGUGCUGAUCGUCAUUUGCAUAACCUCGUUGCUCUUUUUUCCCCGUUUUCAUCUUUUCUUCCCCCCCCCAACACUUGUUAUUAUCAGCCUGCUGUCGGCUUUUGUAUGAGGGUAAAAUUACACAGCCACUUUAUUCAUUUCUCUAAAUGUGUCUGCACACGCGCGCUCUACUCCUCUCCUGCAUAACAAACACUCUUUCAAGUAUACUGUGAUUUGUCUCAAGCCAUUUCCUCUCUCUUUUUCCUCUGAGGUUCUGAAGACGUAAUGCAUGGAGUGCUUUGUGUGUCACUGUACGGACAGCCUAAACCAGACACAGGUUUGUUUUUAUUGAACUCCCCCACCAACAACACCUAGAAGUAUAGGCAGAAGCAAGGAUGCAAAGGUUUAUGGGUCAUUUUGCCUCUUCUUCUAAUUUCUAUUGAAUCUGGAAACAAACAAAUUCAUACAUUUUGUACGUGAACUGGUUGAAUCUCAUGCAAACUUUAAUUUAUUUGUAUAUAACUGUGUAUUAAACCGUCAUUUAUUUAUUUUUAUCCUACAAUUGAUUCUGACCCUUAAUUAAAUCAAAAUAACAUUAAAUGACCUCCAGAUUGUAGAUAUUAUUAACUACAGACUUACUGUGUCUUCCCACCUGAUAGUCUGGUAGACUUGGCUCGAUUGGGAAUAAAAGUUGCACAUUUGUUUCACCUGGAGUCAAACCAACCAAACCCUUUGAGCAACACGUUCCCCUCCUUACCUGUGGAGGUGCUGCACCAAGACCCACUGGAGGAAACGACAUAAAAACGACACAGAGUGCAACUUCCUUUUUCAUCAGACAGCAUAAAAAUGGAACGCAAUCGGGCUUUAGGGGGUGGAGGAUUUGUAUUUUAUCUUUGGGCAAAAACUACGAGCCAUUUCUUUCACUUAGGCUAACACGUUUGUUUUGGGUGUAGUUACCCAGAAUGCCCUCCGCUGUAUUCCACUUCCUGCUUCUGGAGCGGUCUCUGGUCCGCUUGGUGUUCACAUUUAGAACCAAACCAGAGUUCACUUUUCUGACAAAAUAGUGACGAGGCAAAAUGACCAGAACGUUUGCAAAAAUAAACACUGAAAGAUUUUUACCAAUCUUGACCUACUUUCUAAAUUACAUCCCUAAUUUUCUUCCAUAUUGCUUAAUUAAAAUUUUCUCCUGUUUCUUAUGAUUAAAACGCCUGUACAUAUCAGUGUUUCAGUUUGUUUGCAUUUUCUCUCAAUCUGAAGUAUUAUUUUUCUUCCAAGUGGAGAAAAUAAAAUGUCCUAUUUCAGGGGAGACGCCUGGUUGUUGAAGUGCAGGAUGCUCGUGUUGUGUAGUUAACGCAGUAGAAAGAACCGCCUUAACCAGUUUUAAACUGAAACAUCUGUAAGUUUGAACUUCAUUUGAGCUCUCGCGGGCGUUGGUCAGUGGGUUCAUCAUUUAUUCUCAUAAACACUGGAUGUAGACGAAGCCAGAGGAGUCACAAAUCCUUUUUACAGCCUCCCAGAGUAACGCCUGAACACCUCGGUUCUCAUCUUAAGUUCUGUCAAACGGAGAGGAAACCGAACAGCUCUGAGGGUCACACCACUCGGGUUCUGCUUUCGCCCGCCCGCUUUUCGAAUGCUUCGAUAUUUCACACAUUCUUUGCAUGUCUGUAUUUGCGCUCGGAUCGUUUCGGUUCCACUUCAGCACCAGCUGCCAGAACCUAACCGGAGUCGGUUUGGAGUUAUGCCAAAAGUCAUUGUUUGCCUGUAAAAUAACUUCCUUCACAUUUUCUGCUCUGUGCCGUUAAUCCGUUGUUUGCAUCAGCUUGUCAACAGUGCAGAGCGCCUGGUGGUUCUGCUGUGGUUCUUAUGAGUUCACACAGCAAGCAACACGUUUAAUGAGUCCAGGACAGAUGUGGGUGGGUGUGGGUGGAGGUAGCGGCUGGAGCUUCCAGUGGGAAUAUUUAGCGGUUUUUACUCCUCGUGUCACAUAAAGCUUAUAUGCCAUCAUCUGCAUCACUGUCAUUUUAAUUCUGGGUGUUUUUCCAGGGCAAAAUGACUAAAUGAACAAGUUAGAACAGGUCUGUGGGCAUUAAAAACAAUUUCAUCACUUUUUAUUUUUUGCAAAAAAUCAUUCUUAGAUAAUGUGAUUUUAGUCUCCUCAGUAUGGCCUCUGUCACUUCAAAUUAAGCUGCUGCUGGCCAAAUCCCCCAACUCAAUGUUUACACUCGCAGGUGAAAAUGGCUGCAAACAGAGGAGCAAUUAUACAACUAUACAUCUUCAAAAAGCAUUAGUAGAGCCUCCUGCAUAACCAACAAGAACACAGCAAAUGGUUUCUGGAUGGUAAGUCAACAACAAAACAUUUCUGCUCUUAUACAACAGUAAAACCAACUGACCAAACAUUCUGGAGCUCAGUUUUGGGUUGCUAGGUGAUGGGCUGAGAUCUGCUGGGGUUGCUAGGUAACAGGGCAGUGCCUGCUGAUUAGGGACAUUACAUUCUGGAGAUUUUUGAAACAGCUAAUUUUCCAGACACCAAACAAUAUGAACGUAUUGCCAAAAACAGCUGAGUGGUUUUGUUUUAAGUGCUUGGGGUGUUGUUAGAAGCUGUAGCCAAGUGGACAUACAAAAACCUGCAAAAUAUGAUUUUUGUUUAAUGCAGCCCCUUUAAACAUCAACCGCAAUUAAUGGAUUUUGUGGGGGGGGGGAAUUAUUUUUAAAAGUUUGAGUUUAUGGACUUUAUUUAAUUCAGAUGGCAAAAUCAUGAAUAUAUGCUCAAACAUUUAAAACCAUGUGAAAACAAUGAAUUAAUCCCACCGAAUAUCUUGGACGUUUAUGUAUAAAGAAUCCUAAGACUAAAAUUAGCUCCUAACACCAUCAAGAAAAUGCUCAAAAUUUUGGAAACGUUAUCCUUUUUCUUAGAAUUUUCCCUCAGUACGCUAAACAUUUUUCAUACAGCAUCAUAGGCAUUAAGACCUAACCUGAUAAAAUGUUAGAGGUAGUGAUAUGACUCUUAGUGAGCGUAAAAAUAUCUUAUGAUGGCAGAAAGUCCAGCAGAAAGGCGAAAUAUUCUCUGUGAAAUGGAGAGAUCUCUGCCAGCAGCAGGCUCUGCUCCGGCUGUUUGGUUUUCCAUUACUUCCUUAUUUUGUGGCAAUUUCUUCACAUUAAAACAAGUUUAUACAAACAACCAGUCACAGUGAACUGCUGGCAGCUGAGCACCCACAUGCAAUUCAAACUCUCCCUUCCUGUUUUUAUAUAUGUAUUUAUAUAGUGUCACUUGACUGUAGAAGAAGAAACUUUAAAAUAAUCAUUUCAAAUAAUCAACAGCUGAAAAUCUCUAAAACUGACUAAAUCCCUUAAUCACCUCUGUAUAAAGUUGGCCGCUCAGACAAUUUGUUCUGAUUGACCUUUUGUCAGACCUUCUGACUCACAGUUAGUCUGAUAAUCACUGAUAUAAUUAAUGAAAUAGAGUUUUAAUCAGAACUAACUAAUCAACCCUCUUAGAUCAAAAGACAUUACAGAGAAGUGGAGAAAAGAUAACGACAAUAAACAACAAAAUAUACAAGAAAAAUGUUGAGCAUCACCCAGAUCAGUCAUAAAAUUUGCAUUUAAGCUAUCAUGAGCAUUUUAGCUAAGUUUAUCUUUUCAACAGGUGUUUGCAAACUGAAUAGGGAAUGCUACUGAUAUUUCAGUGAUAGCCCUCAUGCUAGCAUCAGCAAUUUAGUUAAAAUUGUCAUUUGAGCUCAAUAUACUGAAUGGAGUGAGUUCAUGUUAGUCAACAUGCUAGGUUUAGCCCAUAUGCUUUUAACAACAUUUUAUCUAACAUUAGCUUUUUAGCUAGUUUUGACCUAACACCUCUGUCUUCUGCUGACUUUAUUUAUUAUAUUUUUUCAGUUCAUCAUCACUAUAAAUACAUAUCAGUCAAACCCACUGAAAGUUUUGGACUGAAAACUACUUUUAGAGUUCCUGUUUGGGGAACUGGGUGUUGCUUGCAGUGGGUCCUCAUAUCCACCACUAGUUGUGACUUUUAAGCAUUUCAUUGUAUUUUAUAAAUGUGAACCACAUCAGCUGUGCGAUAGCUUUAAUAUAUCAUUGUCAUGCAUGAAGACAGCAUUCAGGCUUUCUAUGUUGGGGAUUUGAAGCUGAGGUUUGUCUCAAAGGAACUGACUGAAAUGCAUUCUUUAUCCUUUCCCCGUCUGUGUUAAUGAAAUGUUUGCAGCCCUAGAAAAGAACAGUUGGGAUAGCUGUAGCUGGGAGUUUAAUUUUUUGGCUUUUUCACCGGACGUGUACAUAUUAGUUACACACAUUUCAUGUACUCGAUUUAAGAAGUCACGUAUAAAUCACCACUAUGUUCACUCUGUAUGCUGACGACACUGUUUUGUGUUUGUGUAAACUGGAUGGGUGGGGGUAGGGCAACGGGGGACUGAUUAGGUUAGAUGUUUCACGGUCUGGUGUCUGAAUAAAAAAAAUGACAAACAAAUAUCUGACUGGUUAUUGUUGCUUUAUGGAUCACAGAGCAGAUACCACUUCAUCUGUUAGGCUGCAACUUUGUGAUUUGUAUUCUACAGUGAGCACUGUUUUUGCUUCCAUGACCAAUGGCAGCUUCCACUUAGAUCCAGUUUUAAGACAUGAAGUCGUCAAUACAGGAACUGACGGGGAUGUUGUUUCUUCCUUAAGACCAAUUUGUUGAUUUUGACCUUUUUUGUACUCCUAAAAACAUGAAAGAUAUCAUUUGUGUAUGUUGAAUUAAUCAGAUUGGAAUAAAUGACACAUAAGGUUUUGAUUUAUUUUUCUGGAUAUUCCCUGUAAAUUAAAAACAAAAAAAGAACGCACAUUUGUUGUAACUGAGGUAGUUUCCUGCACAUUGGAUCCCUUUGAUAAUGUCCUGUCUCAGGUUCAUGUGUUGCUGACCGAUGUGACUGCAUCUCAGGUAGAAUGCAAAGUUUAGGCCCCACCUGUCGCCAACAUAAAGGCAUGUACAAAUGCGUUCAUCAAGUCCAGAAGUGCAAACACAUUCUUUUUAGGUCCAGAACUGGUGAGAUGUUUUGCAUAUACAAUAUGUUGUACAUGUUUUAUGUAUUUUUUCUUAAUAUUUGGUGCACUGUAAAAAAAA